RNAcentral lists this ribosomal RNA (659 nucleotides) under uncultured bacterium. RNAcentral's name for it is "bacterial SSU rRNA". It matches the Rfam family "Bacterial small subunit ribosomal RNA", at positions 65 to 719 of the family's 1533-position model. The record is from RNAcentral.
AGCGGCAGCACGGGAGCAAUCCUGGUGGCGAGUGGCGAACGGGUGAGUAAUACAUCGGAACGUGUCCUGGAGUGGGGGAUAGCCCGGCGAAAGCCGGAUUAAUACCGCAUACGCUCUGUGGAGGAAAGGGGGGGAUCGCAAGACCUCUCGCUCAAGGGGCGGCCGAUGGCAGAUUAGCUAGUUGGUGGGGUAAAGGCCUACCAAGGCGACGAUCUGUAGCUGGUCUGAGAGGACGACCAGCCACACUGGGACUGAGACACGGCCCAGACUCCUACGGGAGGCAGCAGUGGGGAAUUUUGGACAAUGGGCGCAAGCCUGAUCCAGCAAUGCCGCGUGUGUGAAGAAGGCCUUCGGGUUGUAAAGCACUUUUGUCCGGAAAGAAAACCUCUGCCCUAAUACGGCGGGGGGAUGACGGUACCGGAAGAAUAAGCACCGGCUAACUACGUGCCAGCAGCCGCGGUAAUACGUAGGGUGCAAGCGUUAAUCGGAAUUACUGGGCGUAAAGCGUGCGCAGGCGGUUCGUUAAGACAGAUGUGAAAUCCCCGGGCUUAACCUGGGAACUGCAUUUGUGACUGGCGGGCUAGAGUAUGGCAGAAGGGGGUAGAAUUCCACGUGUAGCAGUGAAAUGCGUAGAGAUGUGGAGGAAUACCGAUGGCGAA